Molecule: non-coding RNA, 726 nt
Organism: Pogona vitticeps (central bearded dragon)
Lineage: Eukaryota; Metazoa; Chordata; Lepidosauria; Squamata; Agamidae
Source: RefSeq, a predicted model, not a curated record
CACAAAGAUUAUUAGAGGACCCACACUCCCACCUUGCUACUUGGCGCCUCUAACGGUCCUCCUUCAGUUCCCCUAUCUGCCGCUUAAGUAGAGUGUGACAAGAGGGAGGGAGGGGGGACAUGUGAAUUCACGGAGAUACACUUGAAGAAUCAGAGUUGCGUUCUGAUGAACACCCCCACUCUCCAAUCCUUGAAGCUGCUACUGCAAGCCUCUAUCGGCAUACAUGGAAGUUUCCAUUCCAGUGCCAAUACCAAGGAGGUGGGGAAGAUUCUCCACUAGGAUUGUCACACGGGAAGAGAGAUGCCUCCAGCUAUCAAAUGUCCCUGCCUUCAAUCCAAUGAUAAAGCCAUACUGGUGUGUUUUGGUUUUCUGAAGAUCUGCAACAUAACAAACAGCUAAGUCGGCAACCAGAGCCCAAGUGACACAGAACUUAUCAACCUGUUCAGCUUCUGAGAAACACCUGAUGGCACAGAUCCGUGGUGAUGACAUAUAUGAUCAGUGUCAGCCAGCAGAGCUUUUUCAAGUGACAAAAGACCUUUCUCUAUAGGAUCAGAUGAGAUGGAACCUUCACUGGUUCAUUAUGACGAAUUUGUGUUGUAACUUGUAGAUAAAAUUGCUCAAUCUCAAAUUCCAAUCUCAAUGCUGCUGUUCUGACAGUAAGAGAUGCUGCUAGGGUUCCAUGUCACCUAGUAAUGUUUUGGUUUCAUAUAUCAGCUUCUGCCUCCA